RNAcentral lists this long non-coding RNA (902 nucleotides) under Fukomys damarensis (Damara mole-rat). RNAcentral's name for it is "lncRNA (ENSFDAG00000030614.1)". Lineage: Eukaryota; Metazoa; Chordata; Mammalia; Rodentia; Bathyergidae. The record is from RNAcentral.
GUUCAACUCAAGGCUGGUUUCAACUUGGACUUCACCUUGACUAUAUUGGGCUAGAGUGAACUGCCCUCUCUCACCCUUGGGACCACACUUGUCAGCCCUCAUGUCACACACUGGAAUCCUGGGACCCUCAGGAAGACACUCAAGGUUCCUGGAACCCCAGCAAUCCACGAAACAGCACAACCACGUCUCUCUACUGCCAUUGUAUAGUCCCCUCUGCCAGAGGGAUCUGGUCCUGAGAACACCAGGUACGGAGUUCCCUACCAACCCGGUCCCCAGCUCUGCCUGCUCUGGGUGGUGACAGAGGGAGGAAGAAACACCACACAGGUGCACGUGCAGAGAGGUUUGGUUGAUUCUCUGCGGCUUCCAACUGCUGUACCGGCUAAAAGGACUACCCUGACUUUUAAUCUGACCUUGGUGACAUUUAGAUACUGAUCUCCCACGGCUGCACAGCCGAGGAGGCAGUGGGGAGCUGGAGGACCAAACAAAAGGUAAGCUCUUAGGUGGGACCUUAAGCUCCCAGCUGCAUUGUGGUGACCUGAGUAAUAGUGCCUGGGUGAGACUGGACCCUGGGCUCCUGCCCGAGGCUAUAGCCUUGGGUCAUCAGCCCCUUAAGAACCAGUGUGCUUUCUGUAAACAAGGAGGUCACUGGAAAAAGGAAUGUCCUCAGCUUCAGAGCAGGCCAGGGAAGCUUGAAUCUGUGAUGGCCAAAAGUACAGGAGACUGACAGAGCCCAAAGCCUCCCGUGAAUCUCCCUGGACAACUCGCUGUCACACAAUAAUAUUGUGGGGCUUUUUUUGUUUUGGUUUUGAUACUGGGGUAGUAGGUGCAGCCCCCUCCUACUACAAUUGUACAGCUGCAAGACAGUGUCUUACUUGCCUCAGAUGUAGGACUCUAACAGGGCA